This 499-nucleotide ribosomal RNA is filed under the name uncultured Alphaproteobacteria bacterium. RNAcentral describes it as "bacterial SSU rRNA". The record is from RNAcentral. Lineage: Bacteria; Pseudomonadati; Pseudomonadota; Alphaproteobacteria.
CCAUUUGUGAGGCAGCAGUGGGGAAUUUUAGACAAUGGGCGAAAGCCUGAUCUAGCCAUGCCGCGUGAGUGAUGAAGGCCCUAGGGUCGUAAAGCUCUUUCAACUGUGAAGAUAAUGACGGUAGCAGUAGAAGAAACCCCGGCUAAAUCCGUGCCAGCGCCGCCGGUAAUAUGGAGGGGGUUAGCGUUGUUCSGAAUUACUGUGGGUAAAGCGUACGUAGGCGGAUUAAUAAGUUAGAGGUGAAAUCCCAGGGCUCAACCCUGGAACUGCCUUUAAAACUGUUAGUCUUGAGAUCGAGAGAGGUGAGUGGAAUUCCAAGUGUAGAGGUGAAAUUYGUAGAUAUUUGGAGGAACACCAGUGGCGAAGGCGGCUCACUGGCUCGAUACUGACGCUGAGGUACGAAAGUGUGGGGAGCAAACAGGAUUAGAUACCCUGGUAGUCCACACCGUAAACGAUGAAUGCCAGACGUCAGCAAGCAUGCUUGUCGGUGUCACACCUA